RNAcentral lists this ribosomal RNA (497 nucleotides) under uncultured bacterium. Its description in RNAcentral is "partial 16S ribosomal RNA". It matches the Rfam family "Bacterial small subunit ribosomal RNA", at positions 28 to 507 of the family's 1533-position model. The record is from RNAcentral.
GAUGAACGCUGGCGGCGUGCCUAAUACAUGCAAGUCGAGCGAACAGACGAGGAGCUUGCUCCUCUGACGUUAGCGGCGGACGGGUGAGUAACACGUGGAUAACCUACCUAUAAGACUGGGAUAACUUCGGGAAACAGGAGCUAAUACCAGAUAAUAUAUUGAACCGCAUGGUUCAAUAGUGAAAGACGGUUUUGCUGUCACUAAUAGAUGGAUCCGCGCCGGAUUAGCUAGUUGGUAAGGUAACGGCUUACCAAGGCGACGAUGCGUAGCCGACCUGAGAGGGUGAUCGGCCACACUGGAACUGAGACACGGUCCAGACUCCUACGGGAGGCAGCAGUAGGGAAUCUUCCGCAAUGGGCGAAAGCCUGACGGAGCAACGCCGCGUGAGUGAUGAAGGUCUUCGGAUCGUAAAACUCUGUUAUUAGGGAAGAACAAAUGUGUAAGUAACUAUGCACGUCUUGACGGUACCUAAUCAGAAAGCCACGGCUAACUACGUG